RNAcentral lists this ribosomal RNA (467 nucleotides) under uncultured bacterium. RNAcentral's name for it is "partial 16S ribosomal RNA". It matches the Rfam family "Bacterial small subunit ribosomal RNA", at positions 28 to 507 of the family's 1533-position model. The record is from RNAcentral.
GAUGAACGCUGGCGGCGUGCUUAACACAUGCCAGUCGAACGGAAAGGCCUCUGCUUGCAGGGGUACUCGAGUGGCGAACGGGUGAGUAACACGUGGGUGAUCUGCCCUGCACUUCGGGAUAAGCCUGGGAAACUGGGUCUAAUACCGGAUAGGACAAUGGUUUGGAUGCUGUUGUGGAAAGUUUUUCGGUGUGGGAUGAGCUCGCGGCCUAUCAGCUUGUUGGUGGGGUAAUGGCCUACCAAGGCGUCGACGGGUGGCCGGCCUGAGAGGGUGUACGGCCACAUUGGGACUGAGAUACGGCCCAGACUCCUACGGGAGGCAGCAGUGGGGAAUAUUGCACAAUGGGCGCAAGCCUGAUGCAGCGACGCCGCGUGGGGGAUGACGGCCUUCGGGUUGUAAACUCCUUUCGCUAGGGACGAAGCGUUUUUGUGACGGUACCUGGAGAAGAAGCACCGGCUAACUACGUG